RNAcentral lists this ribosomal RNA (484 nucleotides) under uncultured bacterium. RNAcentral describes it as "partial 16S ribosomal RNA". It matches the Rfam family "Bacterial small subunit ribosomal RNA", at positions 30 to 507 of the family's 1533-position model. The record is from RNAcentral.
AUUGAACGCUGGCGGCAGGCCUAACACAUGCAAGUCGAGCGGAUGAAGGGAGCUUGCUCCUGGAUUCAGCGGCGGACGGGUGAGUAAUGCCUAGGAAUCUGCCUGGUAGUGGGGGAUAACGUCCGGAAACGGGCGCUAAUACCGCAUACGUCCUGAGGGAGAAAGUGGGGGAUCUUCGGACCUCACGCUAUCAGAUGAGCCUAGGUCGGAUUAGCUAGUUGGUGGGGUAAAGGCCUACCAAGGCGACGAUCCGUAACUGGUCUGAGAGGAUGAUCAGUCACAACGGAACUGAGGCACCGUCCAGACUCCCACGGGAGGCAGCAGUGGGGAAUAUUGGACAAAGGGCGAAAGCCUGAUCCAGCCAUGCCGCGUGUGUGAAGAAGGUCUUCGGAUUGUAAAGCACUUUAAGUUGGGAGGAAGGGCAGUAAGUUAAUACCUUGCUGUUUUGACGUUACCAACAGAAUAAGCACCGGCUAACUUCGUG